AUGGGUGACAAGGUUUAUAAGGAGGAAAUAAAUGUCAGCAACUCAAUAGUCAAAAAGGCAACAAUCACAAUGCUAGAUGACCAAAGCAAUAACUUUCUGAAGACAACAGGGUUUUCUACCUAUCUGAAGUCACGCUUCAUUUUGGCAUAUCCUUAGAAUAUAGUCUGCCUGGACCCCUGUGUCAUCUCAUGUCAGUUCAGCACUUGGCCCUGGCAGGCAUCUUGCUGUCAUGUACCCUUCCACUUCUAGUAGAUGUGAGUUGUUACAAGAGUCACUUAUCUAUCACAGGCUGCUUUUCAGGCCCUUUGUUUAGAUGAUCGUGUUGUGUCUUUUAAAGCUAAUGUGAGUCUGGUUUAUGAUUCAGGCUUAUGAAACAGCUUUGAAAACCAAAUAUGCCUGUGGAGAGUCAAUU
RNAcentral lists this long non-coding RNA (412 nucleotides) under Pan paniscus (pygmy chimpanzee). Its description in RNAcentral is "lncRNA (ENSPPAG00000044902.1)". The record is from RNAcentral. Lineage: Eukaryota; Metazoa; Chordata; Mammalia; Primates; Hominidae.